AACGUAGGAGGCGAGCGUUAUCCGGAUUUACUGGGUGUAAAGCGCGUGCAGGCGGUCUGUUAAGUUGGAUGUGAAAGCUCCUGGCUCAACUGGGAGAGGUCGUUCAAGACUGGCAGACUGGAGAGCAGUAGGGGAAGGUGGAAUUCCGGGUGUAGUGGUGAAAUGCGUAGAUAUCCGGAGGAACACCAGUGGCGAAAGCGGCCUUCUGGACUGCAUCUGACGCUCAGACGCGAAAGCUAGGGGAG
Molecule: ribosomal RNA, 245 nt
Filed under: uncultured bacterium
Lineage: Bacteria
Description: partial 16S ribosomal RNA
Rfam family: Bacterial small subunit ribosomal RNA
Source: RNAcentral